CGGCACGGGUGCGUAACGCGUAUGCAAUCUACCUUUUACAGAGGGAUAGCCCAGAGAAAUUUGGAUUAAUACCUCAUAGUAUGUGAGAAUCGCAUGGUUUUCACAUUAAAGUCACAACGGUAAAAGAUGAGCAUGCGUCCCAUUAGCUUGUUGGUAAGGUAACGGCUUACCAAGGCAACGAUGGGUAGGGGUCCUGAGAGGGAGAUCCCCCACACUGGUACUGAGACACGGACCAG
RNAcentral lists this ribosomal RNA (236 nucleotides) under uncultured bacterium. RNAcentral's name for it is "partial 16S ribosomal RNA". It matches the Rfam family "Bacterial small subunit ribosomal RNA", at positions 100 to 334 of the family's 1533-position model. The record is from RNAcentral.